Apteryx haastii (Great spotted kiwi) is the source of this 134-nucleotide small nucleolar RNA. NCBI's taxonomy places the organism in Eukaryota, Metazoa, Chordata, Aves, Apterygiformes, Apterygidae. The record is from Ensembl.
CAGCAAGCCUUCCAGCGUGGCGGGGUCUGCCGUGACCCCGGUCAUUCCUGUAGCGCUUGCCAGAGCAACCCCGGGAUGGUUUGAGGCCUCUCUCUGCCCUCCUCGGGGGGAGGCUAUAGAAAUCUCGGACAUGC